CCUACGGGGGGCAGCAGUGGGGAAUAUUGGACAAUGGGCGAAAGCCUGAUCCAGCCAUGCCGCGUGUGUGAAGAAGGCCUUCGGGUUGUAAAGCACUUUCAGUGGGGAAGAAAGCCUUGGGGCUAAUACCCUCGAGGAAGGACAUCACCCACAGAAGAAGCACCGGCUAACUCCGUGCCAGCAGCCGCGGUAAUACGGAGGGUGCGAGCGUUAAUCGGAAUUACUGGGCGUAAAGCGCGCGUAGGCGGUCUGAUAAGCCGGUUGUGAAAGCCCCGGGCUCAACCUGGGAACGGCAUCCGGAACUGUCAGGCUAGAGUGCGGGAGAGGAAGAUAGAAUUCCCCGUGUAGCGGUGAAAUGCGUAGAGAUCGGGAGGAAUACCAGUGGCGAAGGCGGCCUUCUGGACUGACACUGACGCUGAGGUGCGAAAGCGUGGGUAGCAAACAGGAUUAGAUACCCCGGUAGUC
RNAcentral lists this ribosomal RNA (465 nucleotides) under Vreelandella stevensii. RNAcentral describes it as "partial 16S ribosomal RNA". It matches the Rfam family "Bacterial small subunit ribosomal RNA", at positions 338 to 795 of the family's 1533-position model. Lineage: Bacteria; Pseudomonadati; Pseudomonadota; Gammaproteobacteria; Oceanospirillales; Halomonadaceae. The record is from RNAcentral.